GACGAACGCUGGCGGCGUGCCUAAUACAUGCAAGUCGAGCGAAGUUUUUCUGGUGCUUGCACCGGAAAAACUUAGCGGCGAACGGGUGAGUAACACGUAAAGAACCUGCCUCAUAGACUGGGACAACUAUUGGAAACGAUAGCUAAUACCGGAUAAUAGCAUUAACUGCAUGGUUGAUGUUUAAAAGUUGGUUUUGCUAACACUAUGAGAUGGCUUUGCGGUGCAUUAGCUAGUUGGUGGGGUAAAGGCCUACCAAGGCGACGAUGCAUAGCCGACCUGAGAGGGUGAUCGGCCACACGGGGACUGAGACACGGCCCAGACUCCUACGGGAGGCAGCAGUAGGGAAUCUUCCGCAAUGGGCGAAAGCCUGACGGAGCAACGCCGCGUGAGUGAAGAAGGAUUUCGGUUCGUAAAGCUCUGUUGUUAGGGAAGAAUGAUUGUGUAGUAACUAGAUACAGUAGAGACGGUACCUAACCAGAAAGCCACGGCUAACUACGUG
RNAcentral lists this ribosomal RNA (499 nucleotides) under uncultured bacterium. RNAcentral describes it as "partial 16S ribosomal RNA". It matches the Rfam family "Bacterial small subunit ribosomal RNA", at positions 28 to 507 of the family's 1533-position model. The record is from RNAcentral.